Molecule: RNase P RNA, 309 nt
Filed under: Flavobacterium sp.
Lineage: Bacteria; Pseudomonadati; Bacteroidota; Flavobacteriia; Flavobacteriales; Flavobacteriaceae
Description: RNase P RNA component class A
Rfam family: Bacterial RNase P class A
About the family: Ribonuclease P (RNase P) is a ubiquitous endoribonuclease, found in archaea, bacteria and eukarya as well as chloroplasts and mitochondria. Its best characterised activity is the generation of mature 5'-ends of tRNAs by cleaving the 5'-leader elements of precursor-tRNAs.
Source: RNAcentral
GCUGCAGGCCGCCUUAUCGCCGUCCGGAAAGGAGGGAGGAAAGUCCGGGCACCACAGAGCAGCAUAGCGGGUAACGCCCGUCACCGCGAGCAAUUGCGGGAGGACAAGUGCAACAGAAAGUAUGUACAGGUAAUGCUGUAGUGAAACCAGGUAAACUCUAUGCGGUGAAAUUUCAAGUAUAUCGGCGUUAUGGGGCUGCUCGCCCUGCCGAAGGGUAGAAAGAUUGAGCGUAUCAGCAAUGCUACGCCUAGAUAAAUGAUAAGGAUUCCUUUUGGAAUACAGAACCCGGCUUACAGGCCUGCUUUUUUU